GAUGAACGCUGGCGGCGUGCCUAAUACAUGCAAGUCGAGCGAACGGACGAGAAGCUUGCUUCUCUGAUGUUAGCGGCGGACGGGUGAGUAACACGUGGAUAACCUACCUAUAAGACUGGGAUAACUUCGGGAAACCGGAGCUAAUACCGGAUAAUAUUUUGAACCGCAUGGUUCAAAAGUGAAAGACGGUCUUGCUGUCACUUAUAGAUGGAUCCGCGCUGCAUUAGCUAGUUGGUAAGGUAACGGCUUACCAAGGCAACGAUGCAUAGCCGACCUGAGAGGGGGAUCGGCAAACCUGGAACUGAGAACCGGCCCAGACCCCUAGGGGGGCAGCAGUAGGGAAUCUUCCGCAAUGGGCGAAAGCCUGACGGAGCAACGCCGCGUGAGUGAUGAAGGUCUUCGGAUCGUAAAACUCUGUUAUUAGGGAAGAACAUAUGUGUAAGUAACUGUGCACAUCUUGACGGUACCUAAUCAGAAAGCCACGGCUAACUACGUG
RNAcentral lists this ribosomal RNA (496 nucleotides) under uncultured bacterium. RNAcentral describes it as "partial 16S ribosomal RNA". It matches the Rfam family "Bacterial small subunit ribosomal RNA", at positions 28 to 507 of the family's 1533-position model. The record is from RNAcentral.